RNAcentral lists this transfer RNA (74 nucleotides) under Planctomycetota bacterium. Its description in RNAcentral is "Planctomycetes bacterium tRNA-Ile". It matches the Rfam family "tRNA". Rfam says of the family: Transfer RNA (tRNA) molecules are approximately 80 nucleotides in length. Their secondary structure includes four short double-helical elements and three loops (D, anti-codon, and T loops). Further hydrogen bonds mediate the characteristic L-shaped molecular structure. tRNAs have two regions of fundamental functional importance: the anti-codon, which is responsible for specific mRNA codon recognition, and the 3' end, to which the tRNAs corresponding amino acid is attached (by aminoacyl-tRNA synthetases). tRNAs cope with the degeneracy of the genetic code in two manners: having more than one tRNA (with a specific anti-codon) for a particular amino acid; and 'wobble' base-pairing, i.e. permitting non-standard base-pairing at the 3rd anti-codon position. Lineage: Bacteria; Pseudomonadati; Planctomycetota. The record is from RNAcentral.
GCGCGCGUAGCUCAGCUGGUUAGAGCGCCACCCUGAUAAGGUGGAGGUCCCAAGUUCGAAUCUUGGCGCGCGCA